UUUAAUAUGGCAGAUUAGUGUAAUGAAUUUAAACUUCAUAAAUAAAGAAAAUUCUUUUAUUAAAA
This 65-nucleotide transfer RNA is filed under the name Pnyxia scabiei. Its description in RNAcentral is "tRNA-Leu". Lineage: Eukaryota; Metazoa; Arthropoda; Insecta; Diptera; Sciaridae. The record is from RNAcentral.